This 253-nucleotide ribosomal RNA is filed under the name uncultured bacterium. RNAcentral's name for it is "partial 16S ribosomal RNA". It matches the Rfam family "Bacterial small subunit ribosomal RNA", at positions 524 to 776 of the family's 1533-position model. The record is from RNAcentral.
UACGGAGGGGGCUAGCGUUAUUCGGAAUUAUUGGGCGUAAAGGGCGUGUAGGCGGCUCUGUGUGUCCCAUGUGAAAGCCCUCGGCUCAACCGGGGAACUGCAUGGGAAACUGCGGAGCUUGAGUCCGGGAGAGGUGAGUGGAAUUCCCAGUGUAGCGGUGAAAUGCGUAGAUAUUGGGAGGUACACCAGUGGCGAAGGCGGCUCACUGGACCGGUACUGACGCUGAGACGCGAAAGCCAGGGGAGCAAACGGG